This 479-nucleotide ribosomal RNA is filed under the name uncultured bacterium. Its description in RNAcentral is "bacterial SSU rRNA". It matches the Rfam family "Bacterial small subunit ribosomal RNA", at positions 33 to 507 of the family's 1533-position model. The record is from RNAcentral.
AGACGCUGGCGGCGUGCCUAACACAUGCAAGUCGAGCGGAGUCGAUCGACGGAAGCCUUCGGGCGGAAGAUGGUUGACUUAGCGGCGGAUGGGUGAGUAACGCGUGGGCAACCUGCCUCGAAGACCGGGAUAACAGCCCGAAAGGGCUGCUAAUACCGGAUGUGGUCAAAGAUCCGCAUGGAUUUUGAUUAAAGGGGAAACCCGUUUCGAGAUGGGCCCGCGUCCUAUCAGCUAGUUGGUGAGGUAAAAGCUCACCAAGGCGACGACGGGUAGCCGGCCUGAGAGGGUGACCGGCCACACUGGAACUGAGACACGGUCCAGACUCCUACGGGGGGCAGCAGUGGGGAAUCUUCCACAAUGGGCGAAAGCCUGAUGGAGCGACGCCGCGUGAGCGAAGAAGGCCUUCGGGUUGUAAAGCUCUGUCUGGAGGGACGAAGGAAGUGACGGUACCUCCGGAGGAAGCCACGGCUAACUACGUG